This 234-nucleotide ribosomal RNA is filed under the name Chiroptera sp. M853. RNAcentral describes it as "partial small subunit ribosomal RNA". It matches the Rfam family "Eukaryotic small subunit ribosomal RNA", at positions 109 to 340 of the family's 1831-position model. Lineage: Eukaryota; Metazoa; Chordata; Mammalia; Chiroptera. The record is from RNAcentral. RNAcentral also lists the same sequence under 12 other names.
GUUAUAGUUUAUUUGAUGGUCUUUACUACAUGGAUAACCGUGGUAAUUCUAUGGCUAAUACAUGCGCACUCGCCUCUCCCUCUGGGAGGGCUGUGUUUAUUAGAUACAGAACCAACCCACCUUCUGGUGGUCCUCAGGUGAUUCAUAGUAACCGAACGGAUCGCGUUAUGACUUCGGUCGGCGACGGAUCAUUCAAGUUUCUGACCUAUCAGCUUUCGACGGUACUGUAUUGGA